GAAUGUCUAUCUACACCAUCUAUAUGUGGUCCAAACUCCACCUGCAUCAACACAAUUGGAGGACACAACUGCUCCUGCUGGAGGGGAUUUACUGCAACCAAUUCAAAUCUGCUUGUCAGCGUUAGUAACCCAUGUACUGAUGUGGAUGAAUGUACUGGGAUUCCUGGAGUGUGUGGACCAAAUUCAAACUGCACCAAUGUUAUAGGAAACUACAGUUGCACAUGCUUGAGUGGAUACAAUGUAACAAAUUCAUUUAUGCCUAUCAAUAUCAGCAACCCAUGCAGAGAUGUGGAUGAAUGUACUGAGAUUCCUGAUGUGUGUGGUCCACAUGCAAACUGCACCAAUGCUGUUGGAAACUACAGCUGCACCUGUCUGAUUGGAUAUAAUGUGACAGAUCAAUACUUUCCCAUCAACAUCAGCAACCCAUGUAGAGAUGUGGAUGAAUGUACUGAGAUUCCUGGAGUGUGUGGUCCAAAUGCAAACUGCACCAA
This is a long non-coding RNA of Pygocentrus nattereri (red-bellied piranha), 491 nucleotides long. RefSeq lists it as uncharacterized. The transcript is spliced from 4 exons. The record is from RefSeq and is a predicted model, not a curated record. NCBI's taxonomy places the organism in Eukaryota, Metazoa, Chordata, Actinopteri, Characiformes, Serrasalmidae.